ACUGCUGCCGGCAAAUUCUGAAU
RNAcentral lists this non-coding RNA (23 nucleotides) under Cricetulus griseus (Chinese hamster). The record is from RNAcentral. Lineage: Eukaryota; Metazoa; Chordata; Mammalia; Rodentia; Cricetidae.